AGUGACAAAAAAAGUUAAGACUAGUAAAUUGUUGAGUCUACCCGAAGGCAGAUCCCUCCAAAAAUAGGCGUAUGCCACUUAGCGUGGAGAGCACACGGUAUUCUUUAGUAAAAGGCGAAAGAAUAGUUCGCUUUGUGCUCACUACAUGGCUGCGUG
Molecule: small RNA, 156 nt
Filed under: Arabidopsis thaliana (thale cress)
Lineage: Eukaryota; Viridiplantae; Streptophyta; Magnoliopsida; Brassicales; Brassicaceae
Description: ATSL017250
Source: RNAcentral